AGUGAACGCUGGCGGUAGGCCUAACACAUGCAAGUCGAACGGCAGCACAGUAAGAGCUUGCUCUUACGGGUGGCGAGUGGCGGACGGGUGAGGAAUACAUCGGAAUCUACUUUUUCGUGGGGGAUAACGUAGGGAAACUUACGCUAAUACCGCAUACGACCUACGGGUGAAAGCAGGGGAUCUUCGGACCUUGCGCGAUUGAAUGAGCCGAUGUCGGAUUAGCUAGUUGGCGGGGUAAAGGCACACCAAGGCGACGAUCCGUAGCUGGUCUGAGAGGAUGAUCAGCCACACUGGAACUGAGACACGGUCCAGACUCCUAAGGGAGGCAGCAGUGGGGAAUAUUGGACAAUGGGCGCAAGCCUGAUCCAGCCAUACCGCGUGGGUGAAGAAGGCCUUCGGGUUGUAAAGCCCUUUUGUUGGGAAAGAAAAGCAGCAGGUUAAUACCCCGCUGUUCUGACGGUACCCAAAGAAUAAGCACCGGCUAACUUCGUG
This 492-nucleotide ribosomal RNA is filed under the name uncultured bacterium. Its description in RNAcentral is "partial 16S ribosomal RNA". It matches the Rfam family "Bacterial small subunit ribosomal RNA", at positions 29 to 507 of the family's 1533-position model. The record is from RNAcentral.